GACGAACGCUGGCGGCGUGCCUAAUACAUGCAAGUUGAGCGAUGAAGAUUGGUGCUUGCACCAAUUUGAAGAGCAGCGAACGGGUGAGUAACGCGUGGGGAAUCUGCCUUUGAGCGGGGGACAACAUUUGGAAACGAAUGCUAAUACCGCAUAACAACUUUAAACAUAAGUUUUAAGUUUGAAAGAUGCAAUUGCAUCACUCAAAGAUGAUCCCGCGUUGUAUUAGCUAGUUGGUGAGGUAAAGGCUCACCAAGGCGAUGAUACAUAGCCGACCUGAGAGGGUGAUCGGCCACAGUGGGACUGAGACACGGCCCAAACUCCUACGGGAGGCAGCAGUAGGGAAUCUUCGGCAAUGGACGAAAGUCUGACCGAGCAACGCCGCGUGAGUGAAGAAGGUUUUCGGAUCGUAAAACUCUGUUGGUAGAGAAGAACGUUGGUGAGAGUGGAAAGCUCAUAAAGUGACGGUAACUACCCAGAAAGGGACGGCUAACUACGUG
RNAcentral lists this ribosomal RNA (497 nucleotides) under uncultured bacterium. RNAcentral's name for it is "partial 16S ribosomal RNA". It matches the Rfam family "Bacterial small subunit ribosomal RNA", at positions 28 to 507 of the family's 1533-position model. The record is from RNAcentral.